RNAcentral lists this long non-coding RNA (9193 nucleotides) under Carica papaya (papaya). RNAcentral's name for it is "long non-coding RNA (CPAP_LNC008211)". Lineage: Eukaryota; Viridiplantae; Streptophyta; Magnoliopsida; Brassicales; Caricaceae. The record is from RNAcentral.
GGGAACCUUUCAAGGUAUAACAUAUGCUACAUGAAACUGUUUUCAUGAUAUGGAAAAGUUUUUUAAUAUGUACUCUAUUGAUUUACAUAAGAAUUAGCGUUUAUUUUUCGAAAUUUUGAAUUCAAAAUAAACAUGAUAAUCUUAUCACGUAAGAGUUGUAUUUGCAUACAUAUAUGCAGCCUACCUAAAUUAUCUAAUCUGAUAAGAAUUUUCAGUUGUAACCUUGCUUAUUUAAAGAACUCAAUCAUCAAUGAACAUCGAUCGAAUUCUCCUUCAAUUAUAUUCUUACUUCUACAACAUACGAAAACAGAGGCAAUUGCAUGCUUUUACUCUGUUUUCGUGCCUUCUCUUACUAAAUUUUCUCUCUAAAUUCUCAAAUACAAUCUGCUUCAAAAACAGUAGAUAAGCUGCUAAAAUCAACAGUGGUAUCAAAGCAUUUUUCUUAAGGGACUGUGAGACAAUCAAGAUGUCUUCUUGUUCUGGCACUUCAGCUCCACCGCACUUCAAUGGAGAUUCACCUGAAAUCUCUGAGUUUGUGGGAGGUAGUCCUUGAUGACAAUGACCCACCUCCUCUAAGAGACACAUCGUCUCUUACUCAAAUUAAAAGGCACGAGGAUGAAGUAGCAAAGAAACCUCACGCCUUGGCCUGCAUUUAUGGCAGUCUCAGAAUGUCUUUAGUAGGAUCUUGCCCUACAAAACACCUAAAUCAGCUUGGGAUAAGCUCAAAGAAGAGUUCGAUGGAGGUCACAGAAGCAAAAAAAUAAAGCUUAUAAAAUUGAAGGCUGAGUUUAUUGCCUUGCGAAUAAAUAUGAAGACACUAUAAGGCAAUAUGCCUCUCGGCUUUCUGAUAUUGUUAGCAAAAUCAGGCUACUCAGUGAAAACUUUCCAGAAUCUUGAGUAGUAGAACAUAUUUUGGUGAGCUUGCCUGCCAAAUUUGAAUAAAAAAUUUCAGUGUUAGAGGAGUUGGGUGACACUGAUACAAUCAUUGCUGCUGAACUGAUAAACAAACUUGAGACUUAAGAACAAAGAGCCAGUAUGAGGGAGACCAUAAAUCCAGAAGGAGCACUGUUUAUUUCCUAGACUAGAAACAAGUCUGGAACUAAAAAUCAGGGGAUAAAAAUUGAGGAUAAAGGCUCAAAUUCACGACAAGGCAACCAGAGUCAAGGUAAGUGAAACAGAUACCCUCCAUGCAAAAUAUUUUCUUUAACUAAUCACCUUGAGAAAGAUUGCUGGUAUAAAGGGAAAAGAACUAUCAAAUGCAAUUUUUGCAAGAGACUCGGUCACAAAGAGAAGGAUUGCAGAAUAAAAAAGAAGCAGGAGGAAUCAAAACACGAACCACAACAGGCAAACAUGAUCAAAAAUGAAGAAGAUACUCCAAAUACACUCCUUGUAGCUUCAAGUGAAGCUGUUAAUGAAAACAAAGCACUAUGGUAGUCGACAGUGGCUGCACAGCUCAUAUGUGCAAAGAAGAGGAGCUAUUUCACAAUCUGAACAAAAAUAUGAAGGAGUAUAUUCAACUUGGUGAUGGGAAAGCUGUUAGAGCUGAAGGUAAGGGAAGUGUUCUGGUAAGCACAAAGCAAGGUAACAAGUUGAUACAUGAUGUAUUAUUUGUUCUUAACCUACGCCAAAACUUACUGAAUGUAUGCCAAAUUGCAAGUUAUGGUUACACCAUUACCUUUAAGCAUACUUUCUAUGAAAUCUUUAAUGAAAAAGAUGAACUCAUAGCCGAGGUUCCCUUGAGAAACAAAAUGUAUGCUCUAAAUCUGGCAGAACCAAAGAACAAAACGAAUUUGGCAAUCAAAAUGAAGGAAUAAGGCACAGGAGGUAUGGACACUAUCACAAGGGAGGUCUUGAAAAAUUGUAGGCUCAUCAGAUGAGUCUCGACCUGCCUCCUUUCAAGAUGACAGAAGGUGUAUGCGAUGUUUGCCUAAUAGCCAAAAUGGCUAGAAUGCCCUUCCCAUCUCAAACACAGUGGAGAGUAAAAGAAAAGCUUGAGCUUGUACACUCAGACAUCUGUGGCCCGAUGAGUGAGGAAUCAUUAAGUGGUUAUAAGUAUUUCACUCUGUUCAUUGAUAAUCUCACCAGAAUGUGUUGGGUUUAUUUCUUGCGCAGCAAAGGUGAAGUCUUCAACCAAUUUGUGGAGUUUAAGGCUUGGGUAGAGAAGGAAAGUGAAAGAAGUGUGAAAUGUUUAACUGACAAUGCCUUGGAGUACACUUCGGCUGAGUUCACUAAUUUUUGCAUAAAAAAUGGUGUCAAGAGGCAGCUGAGUGUUCCUUAUUCGCCUCAGCAAAAUGGCGUUGCAGAAAGGAGAAAUUGCUCAGUUGUUGAAAUGGGAAGAAGCCUACUUGUAGACAAACACCUGCAGAGGAAGUUUUGGGCUGAAGCAAUAAACACCUCGGUGUAUUUGCUAAACUGUUUGCCCACUCAAGCUCCUAAGAAACAAACUCCAUAUGAAGCCUGGAGUGGUAGAAAACCAUCUACUUAACACCUGAAAAUUUUUGGAUCAGUGUGCUACUCACACAUUCCAGAUGAGAGAAGAAAGAAGCUGGAUAAUAAAGCUGAGUUGGGAGUGUUUUAGGAUAUGGCUCAUAAUCAAAAGGCUAUAAAAUUCUCAACUUAAACAUUAACAGGUUAAUAAUUCGCAGGGAUGUUGUGGUAGAUGAAUCUACCUACUGGAACUGGGAAGAAAGAAGAAUUGAAGCAGAUAGUGAAUUCAAAGGUACUGGCAAUGAGAUCCAAAAUCCAGCACUCCCAAACGCUCAUUGGGAAACUGAAGAAGAAGAUGAAGUGAAUUAGGAUGAAGAAAGCAGUUCACAAACUAGAUUCCGAGCCUUAACAGAUAUAUAUGAAAGAUGCAAUUUUGCUGCAUCUGAACCUACCUCUUUUGCAGAUGCAGUGCAACAUAAGAGUUGGAGAGAUGCCAUAAAGGAGGAGAUCAGCAUGAUCGAGAAGAACAAAACUUGGUUGCUGAUUCCUAAACCAGAAGAAAAAAAACCAAUUAGCGUUAAAUGGGUUUUCAGAAUUAAAUUGAAUCCAGAUGGAUCAAUGAAUAAAUACAAAGGAUUUGCUCAACUUGAAGUUGUGGACUUCGGUGAAACGUUUGCUCCAGUUGCGAGGCAUGAAACCAUACGCCUGCUUCUGGCAAUUGCUGCUCAGUUCAAGUGGAAAGUGAUGCAUCUGGACGUAAAAUCAACUUUCCUAAAUGGUGACCUAGAAGAAGAGAUUCUUGUUCAGCAACCAGAAGGCUUCAGCGUACCUGGAAGAUUAUGUCUAUUUGCUAAAAAAGGCCCUGUAUGGCCUCAAACAGGCUCCUCGAGCCUGGUAUAAAAAACUCGAUGCCUAUCUAACUUACUGUGGCUUCAAAAAGAGCCAGAAUGAAGCUAUUUUAUACGUAAGACAUGAAGCAGAAGGUGAGAAACUAAUUGUUGCAAUUUACGUUGAUGAUAUUUUGGUUACUGGCAGCAAUAAAUUGAACAUAGAGAAGUUCAAAUCUCAACUGGAAAAGGAAUUUGAGAUGUCUGCUUUAGGGGAAGCUUGCUACUUUCUGGGAAUGGAAAUAAAACAAACCAUGUUGGCAUUUUUCUCUCGCAAGCCCACGAUGCAAAAGAAAUUUUGCAGAAAUUUUGCUUAAACAUGUGUAAAGCUGUGUCCGUUCCAAUGAUUCAAAACUCAAAGUUAUCAAAAGCAGAAGAUGAGGAAGUGGUAGAUGAAAAUGUGUACAGAAGCAUUAUCGGAAACCUGUUGUACCUCACGACAACCAGACUAGACUUGAUGUACUCUGUAAGUCUGUUGUCAAGGUUCAUGUCUUCUCCCAGAAAAUCUCAUCUAGCUGCUGUAAAGCACAUUUUGAAGUACAUCAAAGGAACUGAAAAUUUUGGCAUCUGGUAUAAAUCAACAGAAGGUGGUACUCUACAAGGGUACAUGGACAGUGAUUGGGUCGGCAGUGUUGAAGAUGCAAGAAGCACCUCUGGGUAUGUUUUCUCACUUGGAUCAGACGCAUUCUCAUGGGCAUCGAAGAAGCAAAAAGUGGUUGCUCAAUCUACUGUGGAAGCUGAAUACAUAGCUGCAGCUGCCACAGCUAAUUAAGCAAUAUGGAUAAGGAAAAUUUUGAAGGAUUUGAGUUGAAAAACAAUUUGCCCACUGAGAUUUUCGUCGACAACAAGUCUGCCAUCGCAAUGGCCAAAAACCCAGUUAUGCAUGGCAGAACUAAACACAUUAACGUGAAGGACCAUGCAAUCCGGGAUGCUGAGAAAAAUCAUGAAAUAAAGUUUGUGCACUGCUCCUCAAAAAACCAGUUAGCUGGUGUCUUAACCAAGGCUGUUGGAAAAGGCAAGUUUGAAGACCUGAGAUCACGGCUGGGAGUUGAAGCAAAUUCUUAAGGAGGAGUGUUGAUUUAGAUAAGAAUUAGUUUUUAUAUUUCGAAAUUUUGAAUUUAAAAUAAAUGUGAUAAUCUUAUCACGUAAGAGUUGUAUUUGCAUGCAUAUAUGCAGCCUACCUAAAUUAUUUAAUCUGAUAAGAAGUUUCAAUUGUAACCUUGCUUAUUUAAAGCACUCAAUCAUCAAUGAACAUCGAUCGAAUUCUCCUUCAAUUAUCUUCUUACUUCUGCAACAUACGAAAACAGAGGCAGUUGCAUGCUUUUACUCUGUUUUUAUGCCUCUCUCACUAAAUUUUCUCUCUCUAAAUUCUCAAAUAUAAUUUACUUCAAAAACAGCAGAUAAGCUGCUAAAAUCAACAUACUCCAUUUAUGAACAGAUUACUUACACCAGUGACUAUUUCCAAGAUCUGUAUGAUUUGGCAGUGGAAUUAAUACGAAGAGGCUAUGCUGAUGUUGACCAUCAGGUUUUAAUGCAAAUCUUGAUAAUCUAGCUAUCUAUAUUAUUACUUUUGUCUUCGCUUUUCUUUUUCCACUUUUGCCAUUUAGAACUUUUAUCAAGGGAAAGGAAUGAGUUGAUUGGAAGGGAAAGCACUAACUAACUGCAGGCUGCAUACUUCAGAAAUUUUCUCUUCCUCUAUUGUGUUAUUCACUGAAGUCUAUUGAGUGUAUGGACAAGUAGCUCCGCUGAUUUUGAAGGUAGUUGAACUGGCUUUAAUUUGUGAUAGGCUACUCAAGAAGAGGAGUCCCUCCAAGCGGCUUCGUCUACAUCUGUAAUCUACCCCUAUGGCUUCAACCAUCUCCUAGGUUACGACAUCUUUCUUUUGGCCAUAUUAUUUGUCAGAACUAUGGCUUGGGAAUUUUGUUUAUACAUGAUAUUUGCGAGAGAAUAUAUAUAUAUAUACUAAAUCAAAUGAGAAGAGGCGCUAAACAUAUAUAUAUAUCACUACAUUCUAGAAAUGUAGAAAUCAUAGAUGAAAGCAACAAAAUAAAGAAUGAAAGUUGUGAGGUAAACAUACCAUUGUUGAAAACCAAAAGGACACAAGAAAAUGAAUAGAUAACUAAACAAAAGCUGCAAAUUUAAACGCUAUCCAGAACUAAAAAAUAUUAGGCGAAUGGACUCCCAUUGGCUGUUCUCGAUCUGAAUCACAGAGAAGGGCAGUGGGUUGUUUGAGUGAGAGAGGGAUAAAAAUGCAUUUCACAAGCCCUAUAUGCAUUUCAAUAUUCAAUCUUCACAAACCCUAUAUGCAUUUCAAUAUUCAAUCUUCACAAACCCUAUAUGCAUUUCAACCUUCAAAUCUUCAAAACCAACCUAUAUGCAUUUCAAAAACACAAACAUAAAAACAAGAAUAUCCAAAGCAAGAAGCAAUUUAAUCAUUACUUACCUUGAUUGAAAGAAGGAGAGGUGAAGCAAGACAGCAGAAUCGAAGUAGUAGAAGUAGAAGAUGGAAGCAGAAGAAGAAGAUGCAAGCUGAUGUGAAGAAGAAGCAGGUCGGGCUGGGAAGAAAACCAAAAUUAGGGUUCAAGGAUAAAACUAUAAUUAAUAAAAUAUUGUAAGGGUAAAAAUGGAAUAAAAAUGUUUAACCAUAAAAAACCACCAAUUUGGUGGUUUGGAAAUCUGAAAAAAUGAGCAAAAAUUUACCCUAAAAUACCACUUAAUGACCAUACUAUCUGUUUGAGAGUAGAUCCAAACAAAAUAAAACUAUGUAAUUACCAUACCAUACAUUAAUUACCCAUCAUCCAAACACAUUGUAUGUCUCCCUUUCCGGUGCACUUUUAAAGGUCUUUAUCCAAUUCUUUUGUCAACACCAAUCUCUUGUGAAACAUUUCUUUAAUCAACUCCAAAGUUAUCUCUUAUGGAACUAACAAGCUCAAUAUGUAUUUAGUGAGAAACGAAAGAGAUAAGAGAGAGAGAGGAGAUUAAUUAAGAACUAAAAUUCAUUUCUAAACAUCGUCAUUGGCAUCGUUGGGGAUUGUUGGGCCAUUGAUGUAGGAUGAGUUUGAAGACACCAUACCAAUGGCGACUAUUGAAGGUUGCUCAGUGGCCAGGACCAAAAGAGGGUGCAAGGCCAUUAACAUUUUCGGUAGUGAAGUUUGGGAAAAGGAGGGAGGAGAGAGGGACCACUAAUUUUUUUUUAAUUUUUUACACAUUAGAUGCCACAUAAUUAGAUACAUAGAUAUUACAUUGACGAUGAUCCAAAUAAAAUGUGACGUGUAAUAAAAUGUAACAUGUGUUUAACUUGAGUUCAUGUGGUACUUCCACUAACCCAUUAAUAAGUAGAAAUUGUGAUAAAAUUUUUUAAAAGUAUAAGGAUCAAAAUAGCAAAAAAAUUACAGAUGGAUUAAUUUAAAUAUUUUAAAACAAUAGAAUGGUUAAAUUAAUAUUUUGGUCCAGGACCAUAUAUAAAUAGGCAAGGAUUAUGGUUGAUGUCAAGGUAUUUCAAUACAAAUUUAUGGGGUUUUUAUGUAUCGAUAAUCAUGAUAUAAGGUGGUCCAUAAUGAUGUCUACUGAAUUUAUAAUUGGACAAAGUGUCCACACAAAAGUAAAUAGUCAUACAACAAGUAAGAUUUAUGCACCAAUUUAGCAAAAAAAGCUUGGUAUUCGAUUUAGCCUAUGAUAAAGAUGCAACGGGAAUAGACAGGACUAAGGAAACAUAUUUCUACUCCACUCUUCCACCUGCAAUAGAUGAAGAAGAAGACAAAGACAACCCAUUCUACCCAUUCAUUUGUCUCAAUGCUAAUGAAAUGAUAAACCUAUAGAAACCAAGGAGUCAAACUCUUGUGAUCAAACUACAUAGAAAGAAGAUCAAUUACGGAUACUUGGAGCAAACACUAAGAAAUAUAUGCAUUUUAUCUAGAGUUUUACAACUGAUUGAUUUUGUAAACGACUUCUUUUUUUCCAAUAUUUUAAAAGAAGAAGAUUAUGAAUAUGCACUUACGAAAGGUCUAUGGAUUAUAAGCUAACAAUACUUAGUAAUGAGGUCACUAUAAAGUCUGUAAUAUUGAGAGUUAACAAUUCUAAAGAUGAGAUGUACAAAAAAGAAAAGUGUCUAUUAAAGAAACUUUACUAUAUGCUAUUAGGCUCUUAAAGUUGAUCAAAGGCUUAGCGUAAAUUAAUUAUAAGAUUGGAUGUUUCCUUUUUUUUAAGAAAAAAAAAGAAAAUUACCAACUUCUAACCAUGAUAGUGAAAGACAGGAAUAACAAAAUAUUUCCAAUUAUAUGUCUAACACCCCGCCCAUCAUUGUAUUUAAUUAAUUUGGAAAACUUUAUUCAUUUAGGCCUUUGGCCAUGUUAAACUUAAUUAAUUUAUGUUGCUUAAUAUUUAUCAUAUUUUAUAAUUUUGGUUGAUUUUUUAUUUAUUUGAUUUUUAUUUAUUUUAAUUUUAAUUUUAAGUUUAACUCAUUUAAAUUAAAUAUAAAAAUUGAGAAACAAAAAACAAAGAAUCGAGAAGAAAAUCCCAUGAAAAAAUUCCUGCAGGGAGUUAAGUUGUUCGCGUAAGUGUUGGGCAUUGUGCGUGCGCACAGCAUGCACGUCCCCUCUGUGCGCACACACACAUAAGAGUAGCCCUAAUGCGCCUAGGGCCUGCGCAUAGUAGGCUUGCAUGCGGUGCCCCGCACGCUUGGCACAGCAUGCGUGCAGCGCACUAAUCGGGGCACUGCUACCUCAAGCAAUGCGCCGCCACUCCCUGGGGCUGUGNNNNNNNNNNNNNNNNNNNNNNNNNNNNNNNNNNNNNNNNNNNNNNNNNNNNNNNNNNNNNNNNNNNNNNNNNNNNNNNNNNNNNNNNNNNNNNNNNNNNNNNNNNNNNNNNNNNNNNNNNNNNNNNNNNNNNNNNNNNNNNNNNNNNNNNNNNNNNNNNNNNNNNNNNNNNNNNNNNNNNNNNNNNNNNNNNNNNNNNNNNNNNUAUAUAAUCGUGUAACAGUAAAAAGUACACAAAAAAAGAAAAGGAGAAAAGUGGAAUGAAGCCUGUAUGGUACGAAGUGUAUCUGUAUUGACAUACAUAUUGCAUCAAGUGUCUCAUUAGACUUUUUAUAUAUGAGGGGUAUUUGUUCCCCUUGCCCUUCGGGAUAUCUAUUUCCCCUCCCCUAUAUGGUCUAGUAAGACAUAAGAGAACUACUCCCACUAGAUGACGAUGUAUCCUCUGACGAGAGUGGUAUUGUACUCUCUGUAGGAGUCACCUGUGGCUAAGUAAUAUCGUGACUGUAGAUAUCUGUUAGGGCCACUAUGGCUGGUACGACUGUGGUCAUAGCUCGUACCAUGGUUUGGCCAGCUGAAAAUGGGUAUGAGCAAAUUGUCAUAUCUGUAUCUGAUUUGGUCAUUCCACUUAGGUAGUUAGAAAUCUGUAUCUGCUAUCAAAGAUGGAAGUUAUAACGACUUCACGAAGCAUGACAAGAAAAUAUGAGCAUUUCAUGAUUUAUUUAAUUUUUUCUAUUAUCUAGCAUAAUGUAUGUUUGGUUGUCUAUAUUAAUGUAUCGUUUUCUUAAUAAAUAAAUAGUUUUCUAUAAUGUGAGAUAGGUAAACGAAGAGGUUAAAUUGUAAGUUACAAUAAUUAACUUUUGAAAUCUUAUGAUGUUAAUUGAAUAUUAUUUUCUUUACUAAGCAUAUAGAACUCACUCUUUCUAUACUCACCCCAGAUGAGAAAGAAAGUGAGGAACCGCAAACUGACCUACCCUUGGAAGUCUAUGAGAAUUCGUGGAUUCACAAGUCUGGGUGCAUGACUGUUCCUGCACUCUGAUUAGUCCAAUAGCAUACAGAAAGAAGUGAUCCUUAUGUUUUGUUUUGUAUUUUGUAGCCACUGUUGCCCUCAGUAUAUGUAUAUAUUAG